RNAcentral lists this ribosomal RNA (460 nucleotides) under uncultured bacterium. Its description in RNAcentral is "partial 16S ribosomal RNA". It matches the Rfam family "Bacterial small subunit ribosomal RNA", at positions 338 to 795 of the family's 1533-position model. The record is from RNAcentral.
CCUACGGGAGGCAGCAGUGAGGAAUAUUGGUCAAUGGACGAGAGUCUGAACCAGCCAAGUAGCGUGAAGGAUGACUGCCCUAUGGGUUGUAAACUUCUUUUAUAAAGGAAUAAAACGAGGCACGUGUGCCUUUUUGCAUGUACUUUAUGAAUAAGGAUCGGCUAACUCCGUGCCAGAAGCCGCGGUAAUACGGAGGAUCCGAGCGUUAUCCGGAUUUAUUGGGUUUAAAGGGAGCGUAGAUGGGUUGUUAAGUCAGUUGUGAAAGUUUGCGGCUCAACCGUAAAAUUGCAAUUGAUACUGGCAGUCUAGAGUACAGUUGAGGUAGGCGGAAUUCGUGGUGUAGCGGUGAAAUGCUUAGAUAUCACGAAGAACCCCGAUUGCGAAGGCAGCUUACUAAACUGUGACUGACAUUGAUGCUCGAAAGUGUGGGUAUCAAACAGGAUUAGAUACCCUUGUAGUC